RNAcentral lists this ribosomal RNA (3009 nucleotides) under metagenomes. RNAcentral describes it as "bacterial LSU rRNA". It matches the Rfam family "Bacterial large subunit ribosomal RNA". The record is from RNAcentral.
UCAAGUGAAUAAGUGCAUGUGGUGGAUGCCUUGGCGAUUACAGGCGAUGAAAGACGCGAUAGCCUGCGAAAAGCUUCGGGGAGCUGGCAAAUGAGCUUUGAUCCGAAGAUGUCUGAAUGGGGAAACCCAGCCCGCAAGGGUUACUCCCUCCUGAAUAUAUAGGGAGGGUAGAGCGAACGUGGUGAACUGAAACAUCUAAGUAGCCAUAGGAAUAGAAAUCAACCGAGAUUCCCAGAGUAGUGGCGAGCGAAAUGGGACCAGCCUGCAACCUUUAACUUCAGAUUUAGCGGAACGGUUUGGAAAAGCCGGCCAUAGUGGGUGAUAGCCCCGUACGUAAAAAAUCAGGAGCAGAACUAGGGUUGCGACAAGUAGGGCGGGACACGUGAAAUCCUGUCUGAACAUGGGGGGACCAUCCUCCAAGGCUAAAUACUCGUAAUCGACCGAUAGUGAACCAGUACCGUGAGGGAAAGGCGAAAAGAACCCCGGGAGGGGAGUGAAAUAGAUCCUGAAACCGCAUGCAUACAAACAGUCGGAGCCCUGCUUUAAGCACCCUUGAAGGGUCUUUGUUUCCUGCUCGCUUGCGAGCAACGAAACAAAAGAUACUUUAGGGGAGUGAAUGAAAAUCGCGUCUCUGGUAGGAGAAGAGAUGAGGGUGCUUAAAGCAGGGUGACGGCGUACCUUUUGUAUAAUGGGUCAGCGACUUACGUUUUGUAGCGAGCUUAACCGCAUAGGGAAGGCGUAGCGAAAGCGAGUCUGAUAAGGGCGACUAGUUGCAAAGCGUAGACCCGAAACCGGAUGAUCUAUCCAUGGCCAGGAUGAAGGUGCCGUAACAGGUACUGGAGGUCCGAACCCACUAACGUUGAAAAGUUAGGGGAUGAGCUGUGGAUAGGGGUGAAAGGCUAAACAAAUCCGGAAAUAGCUGGUUCUCUCCGAAAACUAUUUAGGUAGUGCCUCAAGUAUCACCAUCGGGGGUAGAGCGCUGUUUUGGCUAGGGGGCCGUUUAGGUCUACCAAACCAAGGCAAACUCCGAAUACCGAUGAGUGCGAGCUUGGGAGACAGACGCCGGGUGCUAACGUCCGACGUCAAGAGGGAAACAACCCAGACCACCAGCUAAGGUCCCCAAACACAGUUAAGUGGAAAACGAAGUGGGAAGGCUAAAACAGUCAGGAUGUUGGCUUAGAAGCAGCCAUCAUUUAAAGAAAGCGUAAUAGCUCACUGAUCGAGUCGUCCUGCGCGGAAGAUGUAACGGGGCUAAACUGUGUACCGAAGCUGUGGAUUUGUAUGUUCUUAGGGAUGUACAGAUGGUAGGAGAGCGUUCCGUAGGUCUGUGAAGAUGCAUCGAGAGGUGUGUUGGAGAUAUCGGAAGUGCGAAUGCUGACAUGAGUAGCGAUAAAGGGUGUGAAAAGCACCCUCGCCGAAAGCCCGAGGUUUCCUGCGCAACGUUCAUCGGCGCAGGGUGAGUCGGCCCCUAAGGAGAGGGCGAAAGCCGUAUCUGAUGGGAAACUGGUUAAUAUUCCAGUACCACUGUUCAAUGCGAUGUGGGGACGGAGAAGGUUAUGCAAGCCGGGUGUUGGACGUCCCGGUUCAAGCGUGUAGGCGUGCUCUUUAGGUAAAUCCGGAGAGAUUAGCUGAGGCGUGAUAACGAGCGCUCUUUGAGUGUGAAGUUGCAGAUACCAAGCUUCCAGGAAAAGCCACUAAGCUUCAGUUGAACAGGACCGUACCGCAAACCGACACAGGUGGGCAGGAUGAAAAUUCUAAGGCGCUUGAGAGAACUCAGGAGAAGGAACUCGGCAAAUUGACACCGUAACUUCGGAAGAAGGUGUGCCUUUAGUAGGUGAACCAUUUACUUGGGGAGCCCAAUGAGGUUGCAAAAAAUCGGUGGCUGCGACUGUUUAAUAAAAACACAGCACUCUGCAAACACGAAAGUGGACGUAUAGGGUGUGACGCCUGCCCGGUGCUGGAAGAUUAAAUGAUGGGGUGCAAGCUCUUGAUUGAAGUCCCAGUAAACGGCGGCCGUAACUAUAACGGUCCUAAGGUAGCGAAAUUCCUUGUCGGGUAAGUUCCGACCCGCACGAAUGGCGUAACGAUGGCCACACUGUCUCCUCCUGAGACUCAGCGAAGUUGAAAUGUUUGUGAAGAUGCAAUCUCCCCGCGGCUAGACGGAAAGACCCCAUGCACCUUUACUGUAGCUUUACAUUGGACUGUGACACGGUCUGUGUAGGAUAGCUGGGAGCCUUUGAAGUGCGGACGCUAGUUCGCAUGGAGGCGACGUUGAAAUACCAGCCUGAUAGUGUUGCGGUUCUAACCUUGGUCCCUUAUCGGGAUCGGGGACCGUGUAUGGCAGGCAGUUUGACUGGGGCGGUCUCCUCCCAAAGAGUAACGGAGGAGUGCGAAGGUACGCUAGGUACGGUCGGACAUCGUACUGAUAGUGCAAUGGCAUAAGCGUGCUUGACUGCGAGACUGACAAGUCGAGCAGGUGCGAAAGCAGGUCAUAGUGAUCCGGUGGUUCUGAAUGGAAGGGCCAUCGCUCAACGGAUAAAAGGUACGCUGGGGAUAACAGGCUGAUUCCUCCCAAGAGUUCAUAUCGACGGGGGAGUUUGGCACCUCGAUGUCGGCUCAUCACAUCCUGGGGCUGUAGCCGGUCCCAAGGGUAUGGCUGUUCGCCAUUUAAAGUGGUACGUGAGCUGGGUUUAAAACGUCGUGAGACAGUUUGGUCCCUAUCUGCCGUGGGCGCUGGAAAUUUGAAGGGACCUGCUCCUAGUACGAGAGGACCGGAGUGGACGCACCGCUGGUGGACCAGUUAUCAUGCCAAUGGUAUCGCUGGGUAGCUAAGUGCGGAAGAGAUAAACGCUGAAAGCAUCUAAGCGUGAAACUCGCCUUGAGAUGAGAUUUCCCGGGGGUUUAACCCCCCUAAAGAGUCGUUCGAGACCAGGACGUUGAUAGGACGGAUGUGGAAGUGCAGUAAUGCAUUAAGCUGACCGUUACUAAUUGCUCGUGAGGCUUGAUCCU